CCUACGGGAGGCAGCAGUGGGGAAUUUUGGACAAUGGGGGCAACCCUGAUCCAGCAAUGCCGCGUGAGUGAAGAAGGCCCUCGGGUUGUAAAGCUCUUUUGUCAGGGAAGAAACGGUCUACUCUAAUACAGUGGGCUAAUGACGGUACCUGAAGAAUAAGCACCGGCUAACUACGUGCCAGCAGCCGCGGUAAUACGUAGGGUGCAAGCGUUAAUCGGAAUUACUGGGCGUAAAGCGUGCGCAGGCGGUUUUAUAAGUCUGAUGUGAAAUCCCCGGGCUCAACCUGGGAACUGCAUUGGAGACUGUAAGGCUAGAGUGUGUCAGAGGGGGGUAGAAUUCCACGUGUAGCAGUGAAAUGCGUAGAUAUGUGGAGGAAUACCGAUGGCGAAGGCAGCCCCCUGGGAUAAACACUGACGCUCAUGCACGAAAGCGUGGGGAGCAAACAGGAUUAGAUACCCUGGUAGUCCACGCCCUAAACGAUAGUCUACUAGUUGUCGGGUCUUAAUUGACUUGGUAACGCAGCUAACGACGUGAAGUAGAACGCCUGGGGAGUACGGCGCGAAGAUUAAAACUACAAAAUAGAAAUUAGAACGACGUGAACUAGACCAAGGACGACGACAGGGAGAGGGAG
This 631-nucleotide ribosomal RNA is filed under the name uncultured bacterium. RNAcentral describes it as "bacterial SSU rRNA". It matches the Rfam family "Bacterial small subunit ribosomal RNA", at positions 338 to 1533 of the family's 1533-position model. The record is from RNAcentral.